GCUACUAUCUAGAUCUACUCUAGUUUAGAGAAGAGAGGAGAGCUCUUAUCUCUAAACCCUAGCUUUUGCUCUGUCUAUGAAUAAUGAAUAAUGAUCAAGGGGUGCCUCCUCUAGGGGCCAGGGGGUCUGGUUUUAUAGUCCCCUCAAGUGAACCUGGGCCGUCGGAUCAAACCGACAUUGAUUGAACGGUUAUUCUUGAUCCUUUAGGUCGGUGGAGCAUAAUCCGCGAGAUUGAGCCUGAUUGGCCACAGGAGGUGGGCGGGCGCCCAGUAGGACAGGGCGGGCGCCCUGUCUCUUGCCCUGUUUCGCCUCCGCUUCGGUCUCGUGGCUUCUGGAGUCUUCUAGAUGUAAGAUAAUUGCGCAGCACGUUAAUAUCUCUAUGUAAUCCCGACGUGUGGGCCUUUCUUCCUUAUUUCCUGAUAACCCCCUGCAGAAAUAGACAAACACCAAAACUCGUGGAAUUCUGUCAGAUAAAACCCUAAGUCUCGAUGUUGAUUUUAUUUGGAUCCUUUUCUUUGUUUAUUUGAUAGUUAAAUUUCAUACUUAAGGACCGUCAACAAACUCCCCCAAGCUUACCUCUUGCUCGUCCCUGAGCAAGGAUAGACUCAGCAAUGAAUCAGAAGUUGUUGCAAUAUCUUAAAAAUUUAACGGUACACAUGCUUUUAAAUAAGAUCUCAUCUCUGAGUUAGAGUAAACUGUCAAGACUUAAAACUUACUUACUUUACCUUUCACCAUGGGACUUGUAACCGUCACUUCUGUCUUGAGUAGUUAAAAGAUAGAACAGUCCAGUCAAGUGCCAUGUCGCUUAUUCUUGAUCAGCUAUAGCUCUGGAGUUUUUGCAGAUUUUCAAAUAAAACUCAGAGAUUCCUUUGUAUGACUCUCUCGUAUCUCUAUUUUGUGGUAUUUCUGGAUCCUUACCAAGGCAGUGAUGGUAUAUGCCUUCUCUCAAAAUAUGUGGUAUUUGUGGUAUAAGGGAUAGUGACAUUGUCUUCUCUCUCACCCUACUCUAAUAAGGCUUUAAUAUCUGGAGCUCAUAGGUGGGAGAUAAAAUAUACAUACUUACAAGACAUUUAUUGUAUAGUCAAACCAUGGAUCCAAAGAAACAAAUCAAUAAGCCAAAUCAAGAUGUGCAUGUGUGGCGAAUGAAUAGUGUAUGGUGAUGAUGGUGAUAACAAUGGUGAAAGUCUAAUUCUACUUUUGCUCUUAUGAGGGGAUACAUACCUUCCUUGCUUUUUGAAACUUUAUGAGGAGAAUGAGAUGCUCUUCUUUUUCUUUCCUCUCAGGUGGGUAUCUUGUACCUCUAAUUCUACUGUCGGACACCUGUCCAUUUUUACCUCUCGUCUCACUCUUUUUGUUUUCUUUCGAGGUUCCGGGCACUUGCCCCUUUUUAUUUCCUCGUUUAUUUAUUAUUAUUAUUAUUUUUCUUUUCUUCUUUUUUCUCUUUUUUUUUCAGAGCACUCAUCUCCUGAAAUAAUGUAGCAAGUGGUAGUAACCAAAAUAACUUGAGCAUUUAUUUCACAAGGGAAAAACACAGAUGUUUUUGGCUGUUCUCUCCCGAAUUAGGAGUAGAAUAUUUUUAGGUGAUUUUGGAGAUGGAAAUGGAUGGAUAUAUGUGGAUGGUACUUCCGGAGUAGAAGUAGCAUAUAUGAGUGAACGUGCAAGUGAAUCUUGAUUUAACCACAUGACAAGCUCCUAAGGGUCUACACAGCUUGACCACACUCAAUGCUCAUAAGCAGUAAAUAAAUGUGUGGCUCAAAGUCUAGCAAGCAUGUAUAUAUGGCUGUGGUAGGAAUUUAAACUCUCAUCAUACAGGAACUCAUCAUGCAACAUUUUAAAGAUUUUCAAAGAUAAAAUUCUCCAGAAUUCUAGCAUAUCUAGGAACAGAUAAACAGCAGCUCAACCUUCCCAUAUCUUAUCCGUUAACAACUUAGAUUUCAGAUCAAGUUUUCAUCCCACAAGUUUAGAUCUAGAGCAAGCUUUAAAUUAUAACAGUUAUGUCUAAACUUGAGAGAGAACUUUAAAUUUGCAAAUUAGACAGAGCAACUAUUCAUCAUAUCCAUGCUAGAGUUUUAUUAUUAAGAUUCAUAGCAAACUUUAUUUAUUUAUUUAUUUAUUUAUUUAUUUAGCAAACUAAGAAAAGAUAUAUAUAUAAGCAUAAAAUCUUUAUUUGGUUCUUCAUAGCUUAUGUAUUUUAAUAUUCUAAUAUAAGUAUAAAGAUAGGUAGAAAUACUUAGCGAGAUAAAUAGGGGUGCUUUCCCCCAAGCUAAAUUUUGACGUAAUUUCUCUUGAUGUAGCUAGCAGGUGGCAGAGGUGUAUUUGAAAGUCAGGAGCAUUCUGACAGCGAUUAGAAUGUCCUCCGUCUGCUAGUCUUCUUGAUUCUUAAAUUCUAUGGAGCUCAAAUAUACAACAAAGCUUGUGGAACUAAUUAAGUGUUAGCAUAAAUAUCUAGCCUUCAUCACGUUGAGCUUCCUCAAUAAAUAUUACUCCCUGUUUUUAUAUAUUUUUAUUUUAUAAAGUAGAAAAGAAAUAUUUAUUUUAUUUUUAUGCCACCAUAGUGAAGGUACUUAUGGGUUUUAUGCCACUCGUAUACUCACAUGGGGCUUAGUAUUUUUUAACAUUUUUAUUUUCUUUUCAAGAUAGCAUGAUUAACUAAACAUCUAUUUAAGGAAAGUAAAUAAUUAAAGGGAAAAGGAAAUGCAGAAAGGAUAAAUAUGGAUAACUACCAAUCUUACCUUUCGGCGAGGGUUCAAUGUUUUAAGUCUUCUUGACAAGACUUCUCACCGUGUUCAUUCUUCAGGUGCGUCAUUUGAUUCAGGUGCGGACCUUGACGUCUGCACCUUUUAAUACGGUGUCACCCAUGUUCUUCAUUUGCCGAGCAGUUCGAAGUGCGGUGUUAGCAGUAUCUUGCUCAGUGUGUUUGUGCUCGUAGUGUACCUGCUCAUAGAGACAAGGCAGAGAUCAAGUGCAUGGGCCCUGUUGGUGGAAAACACCAACAAAACCAAAAGUGUAUUUGUUCUUCUCUAACCUUAAGCAUAGUGAGCAAGACAAAGUUGAUGGAUGAUAAGUUCAUGAGUGUAGCACUUAUAACAUUUGUCAGAUCAGAUCGCUCAACCUUAUGGAAAGAUAAUCUAUCUAUGUAUAUGUCUUUUUCUUUACAUCUCUCAAUGAUUGAAUGUGUAACAUUUUAGCUCAUAUGAUUAGGAGUGUGGGAUCAUGGAGGUAGUACUAAGAACAAGGAUUAAAGGACUAAACAUGUUGAAUCAGUUAGGUUGGUUAAUCUAGAGUUGUAAAUCAUACACGUUUGUCUCUUUUAUUUAUAUGAACGCCAGAACCAAGGAGAAGCUUAUAAAAGUGAUAGUCAAGUACCUUAAGAUGUUACCUUGCUUGAAGAGUGAUGGUACAGUAUCAUCUUGUGGAAGCUUUCCUUUCUUAGCGGUUGUGCAUCGUGUUUGUGGCACCGUCCAUGGAUCAUCUCUCUAUGAUGAAUGAGCUAUGUCCUUCUUGUGCAAAUUGUUAAACUUCAUGUGUCACUCUCUUCGUCUCUGAUGUGAGUUUAUCUCAGGACUUCCCAAAUCGAUAUUGAAAGUUUUUCUGUAGGGGUUAGUCCGACAAAAUAUACCAAUAUCUAGUCAAGCAGUUUUUUUUUAGUUCAAUAACCAAACUAGACUCCAUGUCUAAUCAGAUUAAGGAAGGCUAUUUAACCUAAGCACCAUGCUUAAUUUAAAUGCCAAUGGAAGUAUGGCGAGUACUUCCAAACCAACACUUGCUAGUAAAUAGACAAAGGUAGCAUGACAGCGUUUAUAGAGAUCUACUCAAGUGGAGAUGAAGUAGUGUGAUUAGUAUUUAACAAAUUGAGCAUGUCUCAAAGGUAGGGACAACCAGCAUAGCAACAUGGCAAAGGAUGUUUUUAUGUAAAGUACUCCCCCAAGCUUAAAUUUUGCAAAAUUCAAGUUUGGAUGAAUUUAAUUCAAUGUUGUAUUUAUUUCCGAUCCUAGAAAGGUUAGUGACAAGAAUACCCGAAGGAAUAUUUUUUUUUACAAUUAUCCUUAUAUGCUCAAUACACAAGGUAAUGUUGCAAUUAAUUAAAAGCUCAUGUUACAAUCUGAUCAAUGCUUAUUUUAAGACACUAAGCUUGUCCUUGGGAAACCAUCAGUUUAUGUUGGCGAAGUGGUUUCCCCCCCGACGCCAACCUAUAUCUAGAUCAACUCAACGAGAUCUGCAAUAUUUAUUAUAGACAUAUGCAUCGACAACCGCCCUUUUAAAGUAUUUAUAAAUAGAAAGGAAGAGGGGGUUGGAGAUCUCAAGUGUGGUGAUGUCGGAGAGACCAAU
RNAcentral lists this long non-coding RNA (4329 nucleotides) under Sorghum bicolor (sorghum). Its description in RNAcentral is "long non-coding RNA (SBIC_LNC016244)". Lineage: Eukaryota; Viridiplantae; Streptophyta; Magnoliopsida; Poales; Poaceae. The record is from RNAcentral.